Myodes glareolus (Bank vole) is the source of this 1766-nucleotide long non-coding RNA. RefSeq lists it as uncharacterized. The record is from RefSeq and is a predicted model, not a curated record. NCBI's taxonomy places the organism in Eukaryota, Metazoa, Chordata, Mammalia, Rodentia, Cricetidae.
UCUAAUGAAGACAGCUACAGGGAGAGAGAGAGAGAGAGAGAGAGAGAGAGAGAGAGAGAGAGAGAGAGAGAGAGAGAGAAACAGACAAAGACUCAAAGACUGAAACAGCCUUCUGGAACCUUCAUGCAAAGGAUCUCUUAGGGAAUAACACAGCAGCAAGCAGAUAAGUGGAAGCAAUGAGCUCAGACAUCAAUUGGAACCGGAUUCGAAUGGAGAGGCGGCGCACACGCAAAUCAAUCAACUCAUCUGUUAGCUAAACGCCCCGAAGCCAAAGGCGGAAAACAGCUGGGUUCCUAAGGACUCUUAACAUUCUUUGUGGUAUCCAGACCCCGGAGUGUUAAGGGAGAUGGCCUGCGGGAGACCACCAGCAGCCAGAGAAGCGUGGAGAUGCUCCGGAGUGGAUCUUCAGCAGUUCCUCCGUCCGUUUAUCUAUUGCCCACAGAUUAUAGACAGUGAUGCUCUCACAACUUCCCGAGGUUCCCAGUUCAGGACACAGGGUUCCUCCCAUCUCCUAGUCAAACUGAUCAUUGCAAUCUCAAGCAAACAUCUGACUUCUGAUGCCUCAGGAAUGGUGGCUGUGAUCUUUUAUUCUGGGCAUAUAUGGGAGACAACAGGCCUGAAUUCCCAGGAGUCUUGCUUCACGACAGUGACUUACUCCCUUGGAAGUUGGUUUUGUGCCACUGGUCUUAGUAAUUUGUAAUAGGAAAAAAUAUAUUGCAUCAUAAAACUAAAUUCAUAAUUAUUUUAACUAUGGAAUAUACCUUAAAUAUCAGAGAUGCAACAUUUCUAUAAGAGAUCUUUCUUCUAACUCUAUCAUCUGUUACCUGGCCCCUCACAGGGAAUCUAUUCACAAUUUCCUAUUACAAGGAACAACUCAAAAUGUAUGCAUGAAUGAUCUGAACUGCACUCAAUAAGGAGAAUAACCACGAAUAAUGAGGAUAGAUACUUGAUACUGUAUUUGAGCUGAAAUGUUACUUCAAAAGAUCUGAUUUUCUGACAUCCUAACAUCUAUCAACUCUGGGUAUUAAAACAUAAAUAGUGUUAGUAUAAAAAGAAGAAUAUGGUCCAACAUUUGAAUAACAAGAGAUGUUUGCAGGUGUAUUUUUAUCAUAAUUAAUUGGUCUUCAAUAUCAGUAGUUACUAGGAAAAUAUGAUUAAAAUAUAAUACUUCAGUCUAGUUUUCAAAAUCAGGUUUAAUUUUUGUAUCUUCAUUCAAUUAUAAAUGUAAUAAGAAAUAUUUAAAAUUUUUAUGAUUAUUAAUUUAUUCUAUGUAUAUGGAUAUUUUGCCUACAAGUAUGUCUGAGUAGCACAUGUGUGCUUGGUACCUGAGGAGGUCAGAAGAGGACAUCAGAUUUUCUGGGACUGGAGUUACAGACAGUUGUGAGCCACUUUGAGGAUGUCGGAAAUUAUACCCAGGUUGUUUGGGAAAUCAGCCAGUGCUAUUAAUUGCUGAGCCAUCUCUUUAGCCCAUCAGAAGGGCCAGAUAUUUUGAAAGAUCACAAAAAUUAGACAAUGCUAAAUGGAUAAUAAAGGAACAAAAAUGACCCAAAAUGAUAUAGUAAGGAAAAUUUCCAUAGAUGAAGCCUUCCCUUCCCAAGAAUAAUAUUCCAGGCACAUAUGAUAUACUAGCAAGGCCUUUUACUGAAAUACAAUUCCACAAACAAAGCCCUACAACCUCUAGCUAUCCCAGAAAUCAAUAUGAGUUACAAAUGGGAAGAAUCUUGGACAUGGUCCCAUUAAAAACCCAUGUUGGAAGUCUUUGGGAA